Dermochelys coriacea (leatherback sea turtle) is the source of this 2120-nucleotide long non-coding RNA. RefSeq lists it as uncharacterized. The record is from RefSeq and is a predicted model, not a curated record. The transcript is spliced from 3 exons. NCBI's taxonomy places the organism in Eukaryota, Metazoa, Chordata, Testudines, Dermochelyidae.
GGUGGAAUGAGAAAGCUAUUGCAGGUGGCUUAGUUCCUGUAAUGGGUCUCAACAUAGAGGCAAGACUCUAGUGGAGGCAGUCCUAGGAGUCAGUGUUCAGUGAAGGAAUGGAGCAUAGGAGAAACUUAAGAGGGAGGAAUGUUCAAGUGUGAAGGGGGCAGAAGUGGCUUAAAUAUAUAUUUCCACUUGGUGUUUGUUAGGGGGAGCUUCAGGAGAGAGCCCUGUGAGCCCCUACUCUGGAAGAAGGGUGAACUUUGAGAGACUUUGGUGCCUAGGAAGACAGAGAGGUCAUGGAAUGGCACAAGAAUAUAGGUACACAGUGAGUCCAGGAAGAGGCUGUGGGGAAAACCUGCAGACAGGCUGAGAUAGGAAGAAGCCCAGGCAAGAAGCUGAAGAGGGAGGGGGGAUAGUUUCUGAAUAGACAGACCUCAUUUGCUUACUACAGGGUUCCUGGAUUGGAACCAAGAGGAGAGGGAGGAAUUAGGUUUUCCUACAGGCCCACACAGAUAGGUGGUGUGAAGACCCCUGUGACUAGAGAGAGAAGGAUUAGUGAGUCUGUGAGGCCAAUGGACCUUUGUUUUUUGGGCUCUCAGGUAAGACUAUAAAGUGACUUGGCUGGAGGGCUGAGUCAGGAGAAGAAGCAGUCCAUUGCAGGGCUGGAGCAGCUGUUAACGGGAGACCGCCAGAGAUGAGAAGUACUUGCUAUGCCAUGCCUUGCCAUGAGGGGAAACGCCAGUGCAGAAUCUCUACGAAGGGGAGUCCAUCAGUAGCCCACUAACAACAUUUCUGAGAAAUCCACAAUUUGAUAUUACUGGAUCAGAUCCUGCUGCCACAAAACUCUACUUGUUCCUGGAUGUAAGCAGUAAAAUUACUUCUCUGUUUGUGGGUACUGGAUACCCGUAUGUUGCCUGGUGGCUGAUUCUUCACAUUAUUAACAGCUGUGUCUCAAGCAGUAGGACUUCCUACUUUUCUUGAUAAUCAACUAAAUUGGUGAUGGGAUCUUAGCUGGUUUGGCAGUCAGCUUGCUACUGUCUUCGAAUCUCACUGUUUCUGUGGCAUCCCUGCUGAAUAAGAGGCACACAAUGCAUUCUGAGGCAUCAAGAACUGAACGAGCUACAGAGGAAGAUUAGAAGACAGCAAUUGUCCUCAACUGAAACAGAGCCAGACCUGUUAAAGUACCAAGCUUAAAAUAUCAAUAAAAGGGAAGGGAUACUGUAUAUGUCAUUGGUGAAUAGGAGGAAUGUAGAAUCCGAGUCACAGGUCCCCAGAUCCUCAAAGCUAUUUAGGUGCUUAACUCCUACUGUUUUCAAUGGCAGUUAAGUGAUGAAAUGCCUUUGAGGAUCUUGGCCUAAUUCCAGGAUAGGGCAGUCAGCUAACUGUACUAAUGGUAUGAAGGGAUCAAGUCAGGGAGAGCACAGAGUGAUGAAAAUGGAUGUAUAUGGCUAGUAGAGAUGGUCAAAAAAUAGGAGAGGGGGUAGAACUGUAAACAUUUUGUUUCAAAGUUGUUUUUUAAACAGAUUUUGAAAAUUGUUGCAAAAUAUUUUACCAAAAAUUUGGGAGUUUUCCUUCCCCAUCCCCCAUUACUUCUCCUUUUUCCAUUUUGCUACUGAAACAGGGGAAGAAGAUGAAGGCAGAAAAAGAAAUGGAGGGUGUUUUUGGCUGGAGAGAAAGACCUUUUAAUUAAAAACAAAGUUUUGCAAAAUAUUCAUUUUCAACAAAUGAAAACGUUAUUUCAUUUAGAAAAAAUAUGACUAGCUCUGCUGGUGAUAGUGGUAGACAAACCCUUCAACUGAGGGAGGUCAGGAAUUCUUAGGAAUCACUCAGAACUUUGAGGAAUUGGGCCCUCAGCUUGAACAGUACAAUUAAGCGGGUUGGCUUCACUUUCUGCUCCAUAAUCAGUUUCAUAUUCUGAUUCUCAUGGACCAAUACAAUCUGGCUUGGUUUGGGGUUUUUUUCAACAGGUUUAAAUUCAAGCAAAAUCCCCAUUUUUUCCUGAAAUCAGUUCACAAACAUUUCUUGAAAAGUUUGUAUUCAGGUUUUGUGUUUAAAACAACUAAUAAAAACUCAAUCUUGGAUCUAAACUACUUAGUGUCCCUUUAAAUCCUAACAUCAAUAUCUUG